This 433-nucleotide ribosomal RNA is filed under the name uncultured bacterium. Its description in RNAcentral is "partial 16S ribosomal RNA". It matches the Rfam family "Bacterial small subunit ribosomal RNA", at positions 29 to 507 of the family's 1533-position model. The record is from RNAcentral.
AACGAACGCUGGCGGCAUGCCUAACACAUGCAAGUCGAACGAGACCUUCGGGUCUAGUGGCGCACGGGUGCGUAACGCGUGGGAACCUGCCCUUAGGUUCGGAAUACCUCCCCGAAAGGGGUGCUAAUACCGGAUAAUGUCUUCGGACCAAAGAUUUAUCGCCUUUGGAUGGGCCCGCGUUGGUUUAGCUAGUUGGUAGGGUAAUAGCCUACCAAGGCGACGAUCCAUAGCUGGUCGGAGAGGAUGAUCAGCCACACUGGGACUGAGACACGGCCCAGACUCCUACGGGAGGGAGCAGUGGGGAAUAUUGGACAAGGGGCGAAAGCCUGAUCCAGCAAUGCCGCGUGAGUGAUGAAGGCCUUAGGGUUGUAAAGCUCUUUUACCCGAGAUGAUAAUGACAGUACCGGGUGAAUAAGCACCGGCUAACUCCGUG